UCCUACGGGAGGCAGCAGUGGGGAAUAUUGGACAAUGGAGGCAACUCUGAUCCAGCAAUGCCGCGUGUGUGAUGAAGGCCCUAGGGUUGUAAAGCACUUUCGACGGUGAAGAUGAUGACGGUAACCGUAGAAGAAGCCCCGGCUAACUUCGUGCCAGCAGCCGCGGUAAUACGAAGGGGGCGAGCGUUAUUCGGAAUUAUUGGGCGUAAAGGGCUCGCAGGCUGCUUGAACAGUUAGACGUGAAAUCCCCGGGCUCAACCUGGGAACUGCGUUUAAUACUAGCAAGCUAGAGUAAUAGAGAGGAAAGUGAAACUCCCAGUGUAGAGGUGAAAUUCGUAGAUAUUGGGAAGAACACCAGUGGCGAAAGCGGCUUUCUGGCUAUUUACUGACGCUGAGGAGCGAAAGCGNGGGGAGCAAACAGGAUUAGAUACCCUGGUAGUCCACGCCGUAAACGAUGUGUGCUAGAUGUUGGAGGGAUACCUUUCAGUGUCGCAGCUAACGCACUAAGCACACCGCCUGGGAAGUACGGUCGCAAGAUUAAAACUCACAGGAAUUGACGGA
Molecule: ribosomal RNA, 561 nt
Filed under: uncultured Alphaproteobacteria bacterium
Lineage: Bacteria; Pseudomonadati; Pseudomonadota; Alphaproteobacteria
Description: bacterial SSU rRNA
Rfam family: Bacterial small subunit ribosomal RNA
Source: RNAcentral